RNAcentral lists this ribosomal RNA (253 nucleotides) under uncultured bacterium. RNAcentral's name for it is "partial 16S ribosomal RNA". It matches the Rfam family "Bacterial small subunit ribosomal RNA", at positions 524 to 776 of the family's 1533-position model. The record is from RNAcentral.
UACGUAGGUUGCGAGCGUUAUUCGGAUUUACUGGGCGUAAAGAGCACCGAGGUGGCUUCUUAAGUUGGAUGUAAAAUCUCCUGGCUUAACUGGGAGGCGCCAUUCAAAACUGAGGAGCUUGAGGUCAGCAGGGGAAGGUGGAAUUCCCGGUGUAGUGGUGGAAUGCGUAGAGAUCGGGAGGAACACCAGUGGCGAAAGCGACCUUCUGGGCUGCACCUGACACUCUAGUGCGAAAGCGUGGGGAGCAAACCGG